Molecule: non-coding RNA, 93 nt
Organism: Acanthosepion pharaonis
Lineage: Eukaryota; Metazoa; Mollusca; Cephalopoda; Sepiida; Sepiidae
Source: the annotation of a GenBank genome assembly
CCCCUGGUUCCUGUACGAUCACCCAAGUGAAGCAACGUCGAGCCUGCUCAGUAUUGAGAUGGGUGACCGCUUAUGAAUACUUGGUGUUGCAAU